This is a long non-coding RNA of Lathyrus oleraceus (garden pea), 1569 nucleotides long. RefSeq lists it as uncharacterized. The record is from RefSeq and is a predicted model, not a curated record. Lineage: Eukaryota; Viridiplantae; Streptophyta; Magnoliopsida; Fabales; Fabaceae. The transcript has 2 exons.
CCAAAAUUCAGCAAAUAAUGGAAAGGGUGGAUUCAUGUGAACUGACAGUGGGCUUGACAAAAAUAAGAUUCCUCUCUCUCAGCCAAUAGGGUGUCACAACCUAUAAUAUUCUUUCAUCAAAAUAAUGCGACUCUCACCCAAAAGAUCUUAAUACAUAUAUUCCUCCUCCUUCUAUAACAAAAACUUACUACAAUACACAAACAAAACCCACUCUACCACUCUUCCUCUCAUAUACAUUGCCACUCAUUCAUCCCUCCUUCACCAAACGACUUCGGCUGCGCCACCCAUACACCUGCCGGGACACUACUUACAACCACCUCACACAAAAACCUUUAACCUUCAUUACUCAUUAACCCCAAAACCACUAUAAAAAUACACUCCAAUUCAAAAUCAACACCACUCCAUCUAGCUCUCCACUGAACAAAAACCAAACCUUCUUCACUAUGAGCUCACCACAACCAAACACAUAUUGUCACCUUUUAUCAUCACAGGAAUGCUUUAGCUGUAACCCCCCUUUCUAGAGAUCUAUCAGCGUCACCACCUUGUUCUUAACUCUCAAACUCCCUCCGUCGAUCUUCCAUAUAAACCACCCCUUAAACCUCCUUCAACUCAUAACAAAAGACCAUCAUAACAAAACAUAACUCUCUCAACCACAAUAAUCAAGAUCUGUAAAAAUAAAAUAAAAGAGAAGAGGAAACAAAAUCUGGACAAGGUGAAGACGAGGAUGAACUGAAAUCGAAUGCCAUAUGACAUCACCUAAUGCAGCCACCACUUCAACAACCACUGCGUUGCUGUCAAACAUCUCUCCGCACCGCCGGAAAAGUGUUCGUAACUCUACCGUCAUAACCACCAUAUUGCAGUUGGUUAACAUUGUCGAGCUAAGGCAAGCCUACAUUGAUCAGCAACUGGGAACGUAAGCUGAAACAAAAAGAUAAACUUAUCCAAAGAGGGAAAAUGGAAAAAGUAGUUGAGUUCCUAGGGAAAAUGCAGAAGGUUUGAUGUAUUUGAGGGAGUCUCUGCUAUGUAUUGAAGGAAAUUAAUUUGAAUCAAGUGGAUAAGAUCAAUGGAUGCUAGAAGACAAAAUAUGGUACAAUAGUACAACCACUACUCUGCACGCUAUGCAAGAAAGGACAGCGCCGCCUGCACCCUGUUGUGGUAGUCUGUCAUAAGACGCCUUGUCUCUCACAAUUGUUCCCUUGUACCUGAUUCAUUGCUUACUAAGCAAAUAUAAUAAUGAGAAGGCGCUGAUUCAUGUAAUGGGCUUGAUUUGAUUUCCUUAUUUUUGGCCCAUGAUCCAAGACAUCGCAGGAAACCAUAAUGAAGGCUUAUAAAUAGAUCAUGCUGAAGAUUGAGAAGAGAGUUCAACAUUACUCACAAUCACAUAUCUCUUGCUAAUUGUCCAUCUCAAGAAGUCUUCAUGUUACUCUUAGGUUUACAUUUCUUCUUCAGUACUUGUUUAAGAAUGUAUCUUUUGAGAACUAUGUAUGUAGUUUUUACUCAGCUCAUCACGAGCUAAACCUUUUGUAUAUUGAGCAAUGGGAAGUUAAUGUUAUGAUAAUUUUAUGUUAA